UACGUAGGUGGCGAACGUUGUCCGGAUUCACUGGGCGUAAAGCGCGCGCAGGCGGAUUGGUAAGUCUGAGGUGAAAGCUCCCGGCUCAACUGGGAGAGGCCCUUGGAUACUGCCCGUCUUGAGACAUCUAGAGGAGAGUGGAAUACCCGGUGUAGUGGUGGAAUGCGUAGAUAUCGGGUGGAACACCAGUGGCGAAAGCGGCUCUCUGGGGAUGGUCUGACGCUGAGGCGCGAAAGCGUGGGGAGCAAACCGG
This 253-nucleotide unclassified non-coding RNA is filed under the name uncultured Chloroflexota bacterium. Its description in RNAcentral is "uncultured Chloroflexi bacterium contains 16S-23S intergenic spacer region". It matches the Rfam family "Bacterial small subunit ribosomal RNA", at positions 524 to 776 of the family's 1533-position model. The record is from RNAcentral. Lineage: Bacteria; Bacillati; Chloroflexota.